AACGCUAGCGGCAGGCUUAACACAUGCAAGUCGAGGGGCAGCGGGAGUAGCAAUACUUGCCGGCGACCGGCGCAAGGGUGCGUAACGCGUGAGCAACAUGCCCGUAUCAGGGGGAUAAUCCAGGGAAACUUGGUCUAAUACCGCAUAAUGAUUCCGGAAGGCAUCUUUUGGGAUUUAAAAUUUCGAUGGAUACGGAUUGGCUCGCGUGACAUUAGCUGGAUGGAGAGGUAACGGCUCACCAUGGCUACGAUGUCUAGGGGUUCUGAGAGGAAGGCCCCCCACACUGGGACUGAGACACGGCCCAGACUCCUACGGGAGGCAGCAGUGAGGAAUAUUGGACAAUGGAUGGAAAUCUGAUCCAGCCAUGCCGCGUGCAGGAAGACAGCCCUAUGGGUUGUAAACUGCUUUUAUAUGGGAGCAAUAAGGUCUACGUGUAGACUGAUGAGAGUACCAUAUGAAUAAGCAUCGGCUAACUCCGUG
Molecule: ribosomal RNA, 480 nt
Filed under: uncultured bacterium
Lineage: Bacteria
Description: bacterial SSU rRNA
Rfam family: Bacterial small subunit ribosomal RNA
Source: RNAcentral